Fukomys damarensis (Damara mole-rat) is the source of this 800-nucleotide long non-coding RNA. NCBI's taxonomy places the organism in Eukaryota, Metazoa, Chordata, Mammalia, Rodentia, Bathyergidae. The record is from Ensembl.
GCCCCCAGGAACAAUCUGCCCUCCACCCACCACACAGCCUGGACUACAAGUCAGCUGCAGAUGUUGCCCUAAAGACAAAACGCAGUGCUAGUAUCAGAGGCUGGUCAGGCAAAAACAAUAAGUGUAUGUUAACAUCGGACUAUACGAUCUUUAAGACAAUACCCCAAUCAAGAAUAGCAAUUCUAGAUAAAAAUCUAGUAUAAAAAAUGGAGAGAGGAGGAAUACAGUAGGGAUGGAAACAGAGUAAAUAUUUUAUUUCCUCCAAAUAUCAUGAAAAAGACUUCUAUUAUUUCAUUUAUGCAAAAGUAGAGCCUUCCACGUGCAAAAAUAGGUCUUGGGUGGGACUCUAAAGUAGACCCUGCCAGAUGGGUAAAUUGACCUCAACAGGAAGGUUCUGAGGGGAUGCUUUGAUUGACAGCAUACUUACAAUUCAAAAAUGGGAGAGGAAAAGUUCAAGAAAACAUGGUGUACUUUGAAAAGAACAGCUAUUAGUUCUUUCAGAAGACCAGUCAGUGAGGCGCUGACGGGGACUACCUCAAAGAGAAGAUGUAUGCAGCCUAAAUCUACAGCCUGAGGCUUCUCUGAAGGACAAGUGGGUAAGCACAACAGUUUUGCCUUUGGCCAAUUAAAGGCUAAGUAUUUGUAGGUAAGUGAGGUUUAAGACUUUCUCUCACCCAACUCCCUGUACCGCCCCAUCUUCCUCAGUCAGUUAUGUAGCCCCUGGCCCUGAGACAACAUGAGUCUCCAAACACUCUAUUUCUUACUCUCUUUCUCUAUCAAUAAAUCCCCCAGUACCUCCU